UGUAGUUGGGAGGAGGCUGAGAACGAUCUGGCUGGAAGGACUCUGAGGCUCGCAGCUCAGGUGGGAAGGUGCUCCAUCUAUAUGGAAUGUCCAAAAUAGAUCGAUCGAUAGAGACCGAACGCAGUUUAGUGGUUGGCAAGGAAAAAAGACCUGAAAAACUUCAAAAGAAGAAUGGAAAACAUCUGUGUGCAGAACAGUGGAAUCAUAACACACCUGAAGAAGCUUAGCCACAUUUCCUUUUGACUCAUUUACAUCAAUUGAGGCCCUUUUAAAAAAUAUCAUUAAUUUUUGAUUGGUAAUUUUUAACUUACUAAAAGUGUUUCAAAUAUUCUGAAACAACUUCAAGCUUUACAAAAGCAGAGAUUUCCUUAAGAGUUGUCACUUGCCUGAAAUGCCUCUCCUGAUUUUGUUGAUGCCGUUCAAAUUCACCCUCGUAUUUCCAGGCUUCUCUGAAACUGGAACAGUCAAGGUCACAACUUAGAAAACUGUUACAGAAGAAACAAGAAUUUACUUGGGAGGACCGAGGAGAGGAAGUAGCUGGUUUUGACACCUUUCGAAUAUGGCCAUGCAAUAUGAACAAAAUACAAAGAAAGAAGAAUGAAAAGAGCCGAUAAAGAAAGAUACAUGUGUUGGUGAUGGUGAGGAAGUGACAGAGGAAAUGUAGGGCAUCAAGCACAUUUAUAUACAGAUAAAAUGUAAGGUAUCAAGAUGCAGACAAAGGUAAAUGCUGAGACUAUAAGACAUUGAAUACAACUGAUUAGAUCAUAA
Long non-coding RNA from Suricata suricatta (meerkat), 768 nucleotides. RefSeq lists it as uncharacterized. The record is from RefSeq and is a predicted model, not a curated record. NCBI's taxonomy places the organism in Eukaryota, Metazoa, Chordata, Mammalia, Carnivora, Herpestidae. The transcript has 4 exons.